GAUGAACGCUGGCGGCGUGCCUAAUACAUGCAAGUCGAGCGGUAACAUGGACUUCGGUCUGAUGACGAGCGGCGGACGGCUGAGUAACGCGUAGGAACGUACCCCAAACUGAGGGAUAACUGCUCGAAAGAGUAGCUAAUACCGCAUGUGCUCUAAGGAGUAAAGCUUCGGCGGUUUGGGAACGGCCUGCGUACGAUUAGAUUGUUGGUGAGGUAAUGGCCCACCAAGUCGAUGAUCGUUAGCUGGUCUGAGAGGAUGAUCAGCCAGACUGGGACUGAGAACGGCCCAGACUCCUACGGGAGGCAGCAGUGGGGGAAUAUUGGACAAUGGGCGCAAGCCUGAUCCAGCAAUUCCGCGUGGGUGAAGAAGGUCUUCGGAUUGUAAAGCCUUCGUUGGGACGAUGAUGACGGUACCCAAAGAAGAAGCCCCGGCUAACUUCGUG
RNAcentral lists this ribosomal RNA (442 nucleotides) under uncultured bacterium. Its description in RNAcentral is "bacterial SSU rRNA". It matches the Rfam family "Bacterial small subunit ribosomal RNA", at positions 28 to 507 of the family's 1533-position model. The record is from RNAcentral.